GCGUCGGUAGUGCAACGGAUCAGCGCGUGCCCCCGGAUAGGGUGAGAUGUGGGUUCGAAUCCCAACCGAUGCA
Non-coding RNA from Parelaphostrongylus tenuis, 73 nucleotides. The record is from the annotation of a GenBank genome assembly. NCBI's taxonomy places the organism in Eukaryota, Metazoa, Nematoda, Chromadorea, Rhabditida, Metastrongylidae.